AACGAACGCUGGCGGCAUGCCUAACACAUGCAAGUCGAACGAGACCUUCGGGUCUAGUGGCGCACGGGUGCGUAACGCGUGGGAACCUGCCCUUAGGUUCGGAAUAACUCCCCGAAAGGGGUGCUAAUACCGGAUAAUGUCUUCGGACCAAAGAUUUAUCGCCUUUGGAUGGGCCCGCGUUGGAUUAGCUAGUUGGUAGGGUAAAAGCCUACCAAGGCGACGAUCCAUAGCUGGUCUGAGAGGAUGAUAAGCCACACUGGAACUGAGACACGGGCCAGACUCCGACGGGAGGCAGCAGUGGGGAAUAUUGGACAAUGGGCGAAAGCCUGAUCCAGCAAUGCCGCGUGAGUGAUGAAGGCCUUAGGGUUGUAAAGCUCUUUUACCCGGGAUGAUAAUGACAGUACCGGGAGAAUAAGCUCCGGCUAACUCCGUG
Molecule: ribosomal RNA, 433 nt
Filed under: uncultured bacterium
Lineage: Bacteria
Description: partial 16S ribosomal RNA
Rfam family: Bacterial small subunit ribosomal RNA
Source: RNAcentral